Non-coding RNA from Vombatus ursinus (common wombat), 922 nucleotides. NCBI's taxonomy places the organism in Eukaryota, Metazoa, Chordata, Mammalia, Diprotodontia, Vombatidae. The record is from the annotation of a RefSeq genome assembly.
UUAAUUUGACUUUAAAUGAAUCCAACCAUUUGCACUUAUUUCACUGUGUCUUGCAUACCCGGUUCAGGAGAAUCGGGAAUUAGAAGGCAAGGGAGGCCCCUAGGGGAUAGGGAAGAAUUCUUGGCCGUCCGCUUCCUACUGUGUCGCAAUGUGUUUCAUUUUGGACCUGGGACCAGGCUCAGUGUUCUAGAUGACCUGAACAAGGUGAUUCCCCCAAAGGUAACUGUGUUUCAACCAUCUGAGGAAGAGAUCGAGGAGAAGGGAAAGGCCACACUGGUCUGUCUGGCCACAGGCUUCUACCCUGACCUUGUGGAGCUGAGCUGGUGGGUGAAUGGGCAGCAGACUCAAGUUGGGGUCAGCACAGACCCUCAGCCCUCCAAGGAGCAGCCUGAUAACGACUUCUCCAAGUACUCGCUGAGCAGUCGCCUCCGGGUUUCUGCUCCCUUCUGGCGCAAUCCCAAGAACAGUUUCCGUUGCCAAGUAUUGUUCCAUGGGAUCUCAGAGGAUGAGCCCUGGACCGGUAACACAAGCAAACCCAUCACCCAGAAUGUCAGUGACCAGAUCUGGGGAAAGGCAGAUUGUGGUGUUACCUCUGAGUCCUAUCAGCGCAGUAUCCAGUCUGCCACCUUCCUUUAUGAGAUCCUGCUGGGGAAAGCCAUGCUGUAUGGCCUGCUGGUCAGUGCCCUGGUGUGGAGAGCCAUGGCCAAGAAAAAAUAUUCCUGAUGCCAGCUGUGGAGGUGAGAAGAAGGAGAAGAGUCUGCUUUCUCUAUUCUUAUUCCGUGUUCCAGAAAAGCUGUUGUUCCCUCAGUCUUCAUCCCCAUCCUUCAGAGGUCUCUCCAAAGACAACAUUCCAGUCCCAAGGGGAGAAGGAUGGUGGUUUAAUUUUGAAGAAAUAAAAAAGCCUGCCUUGGCUUAGCAGUUA